UACGAAGGGGGCUAGCGUUGCUCGGAAUUACUGGGCGUAAAGCGCGUGUAGGCGGCCAACUAAGUCGGGCGUGAAAUCCCACGGCUCAACCGUGGAAGUGCACUCGAAACUGGAUGGCUAGAGUCCUGGAGAGGAAGGUGGAAUGCUUGGUGUAGAGGUGAAAUUCGUAGAUAUCAAGCGGAACACCGGUGGCGAAGGCGGCCUUCUGGACAGUGACUGACGCUGAGACGCGAAAGCGUGGGGGAGCAAACAGG
RNAcentral lists this ribosomal RNA (254 nucleotides) under uncultured bacterium. RNAcentral describes it as "partial 16S ribosomal RNA". It matches the Rfam family "Bacterial small subunit ribosomal RNA", at positions 524 to 776 of the family's 1533-position model. The record is from RNAcentral.